RNAcentral lists this long non-coding RNA (930 nucleotides) under Gallus gallus (chicken). RNAcentral's name for it is "lncRNA (ENSGALG00010007606.1)". Lineage: Eukaryota; Metazoa; Chordata; Aves; Galliformes; Phasianidae. The record is from RNAcentral.
GGUUAGGGUUAGGGUUAGGGUUAGGGUUAGGGUUAGGGUUAGGGUUAGGGUUAGGGUUAGGGUUAGGGUUAGGGUUAGGGUUAGGGUUAGGGUUAGGGUUAGGCAACGGGUUAGGCAACGGGUUAGGCAACGGGUUAGGCAACGGGUUAGGCAACGGGUUAGGCAACGGGUUAGGCAACGGGUUAGGCAACGGGUUAGGCAACGGGUUAGGCAACGGGUUAGGCAACGGGUUAGGCAACGGGUUAGGCAACGGGUUAGGCAACGGGUUAGGGUUAGGCAACGGGUUAGGGUUAGGGUUAGGGUUAGGCAACGGGUUAGGGUUAGGCAACGGGUUAGGGUUAGGCAACGGGUUAGGGUUAGGCAACGGGUUAGGGUUAGGCAACGGGUUAGGGUUAGGCAACGGGUUAGGGUUAGGGUUAGGGUUAGGGUUAGGGUUAGGGUUAGGGUUAGGGUUAGGGUUAGGGUUAGGGUUAGGGUUAGGGUUAGGGUUAGGGUUAGGGUUAGGGUUAGGGUUAGGGUUAGGGUUAGGGUUAGGGUUAGGGUUAGGGUUAGGGUUAGGGUUAGGGUUAGGCAACGGGUUAGGCAACGGGUUAGGGUUAGGGUUAGGGUUAGGGUUAGGGUUAGGGUUAGGGUUAGGGUUAGGGUUAGGGUUAGGGUUAGGGUUAGGGUUAGGGUUAGGGUUAGGGUUAGGGUUAGGGUUAGGGUUAGGGUUAGGGUUAGGGUUAGGGUUAGGGUUAGGGUUAGGGUUAGGGUUAGGGUUAGGGUUAGGGUUAGGGUUAGGGUUAGGGUAAGGGUUAGGGUUAGGGUUAGGGUUAGGGUUAGGGUUAGGGGUAGGGUUAGGGUUAGGGUUAGGGUUAGGGUUAGGGUUAGGGUUAGGGUUAGGGUUAGGGUUAGGGUUAGGGUUAGGGUUAGGGUUAGGGUUAGGGUUAG